This 473-nucleotide small RNA is filed under the name Pan troglodytes (chimpanzee). RNAcentral describes it as "3prime overlapping ncRNA". Lineage: Eukaryota; Metazoa; Chordata; Mammalia; Primates; Hominidae. The record is from RNAcentral.
GCUAGAUUUUUUGAAAGUCCCAAGAGAAGUGGUGGUCUUCCCUUCUGUCAUCCCAGUAUAUAUAGUUAUACAUGUAAAUAUCUGAAUACCCCUUGUAACGGGAAGGCUAUGUACAGGGCAGCCUUCCCAAAAGCUGUGAGGGCACAGAGCUGCUGUGGCUGCUCCACCAGGGCAUGCUGGUGGCUCAGCUUUGAGGUUGGACUCCCACAUUCACCUCCCCCUCCGGGUCCAGGCAGAGGCACCAGAACCCAUCUGCCUUUUCUCCAAUGUGAGCAUUUCAGGGAGCCACCAUCAGCCUUGGGUUCAUGAGAGGAAGAAACCCCCAAAGACCAAUGCCUGGAGCCCACUUCUCCAGCGACACCUUCCCUCGCCAGAGCGGGCUCCUAGGAGUGCAUCGCAGGGGUGCCGGGUCCCUGCGCACGGGUUUGCUUUCUGAACAUUGCCCAUCAACACUGCCUUCAGGGAGUCCCAGA